This 35825-nucleotide long non-coding RNA is filed under the name Lactuca sativa (garden lettuce). RNAcentral's name for it is "long non-coding RNA (LSAT_LNC000517)". The record is from RNAcentral. Lineage: Eukaryota; Viridiplantae; Streptophyta; Magnoliopsida; Asterales; Asteraceae.
AUGAAGAUCCUUCUGGAAUUUCAGAUAGAACAACCAUUAUGAGUUGUGUGUUGAUGACUCGUCACCCUUCCCACCUUUUUGAGUAUUUAUUUAAAGGUUCUUCUUAAAUGCAGGUGUACCUAAGUAAGCUCUGAAACUCCACAGGUUAUCAAUAAUGUAAGUUGGUUUCACCAGUUUUCCUCACUUGUGCUUCAAUGUCAGGAUCCAGUACAUAAUGCCUCUACAAAAGAAUCCAAAUUAUUAGUAUUUACAAUAUGCAACGUAAAUCUCAUCAAACAAAUUAAACCUCAAUAAUAAUAUUAAUAAUAACUUUGAAUUCCUAAAAAAUAAAACUUUUAAGUAAUUAAAAUACAAUACAUAUGCAUCUCUGAACUUUGCCAUGUGAACUAACAUGCCUAGAAAAAUGUUUAAAUUUCAUUAUAUGAACUCUAAUUGUGUUAAUUUGGAAAUAUUUACCCCCAGACUUUGAGUUUAGAGUUGAUAUUGGAGCUAUACAUUGCAUAAUAUGUAUAUGUGUGUUUUAACCCUCGAUUUAAUUUUCAAGCUCAAAGGUGAUUCAUAGCUUAAUUGGUGAUAACCUUGGUUGAGAGACUGCUCUUAUUUCAAACAGAAAAAGGUAUAUACAGGGUAACAAUUACAUUGCCAUGGGAAUUAUUUAGAAAACAGUUACUCCACUAAUUGAACUGGUUAACCUAUUUUUCCAGCUAAUUAAGUUCAGGUGCAAAAAAAAUAUCGAAGCAAUUUAUUCAUUUAAUCUUUAAAGUCAACAUUUUGAUUUUAAAAACCAACAAAUCAACACCAAAUACCAUUCUGGGUAUAACUACAAAAUCCACGAUUGCCUUCCAUGAAAGGAAUUGCAUAAGAUAUAGGCAUUUUCAGGCGUUCGCUAGAUAUCAACAAUGAGUAAUUUGAAGAUCCAAGCAGGAAAAAAGAAGCUUCUUGACAUACAGAUCCUCAAAAUUCCUUGAAAAUAUAAAAGAAUUGAGGAAGCAAUUUUGGAGGGCUGAAAAAUUUCCCAAUUGCACGAAUUUCAGUUCAUGAUUCUGGAACAGUGGACUUUACUCUAAAAGGAGUGUAUGCUAUCCUAAUUGAUAUAUGAUAUUAAACAAAAGUAAGUAAAAUAGAGAAAAAAAAAAAAAAAAAAAAAAAAAAAAAAAAAAAAAACCAAAAACAAUUUGUGGAAAAAAANACAUGUUGGCGAAAUAAACAAUUGAUUAUGACUUUGACUUAUGAUUAGUAAGAAAACUUGUCAAACAAUAUCUGAAACUAACUUGUAAGAAUGUGGGUUCAUAGUUAACCUGCGAGAUCUGAAGCAGGGAUGAUAGAGGCUGAGAAAGACGACUGAAAACGGUAAGUCGGCAGGUAAACUGCGAGUCAAGGAGGAAGGGAGAGUCAACGAGGAUGAUGGGUUUUUCUUUUGCCUUACUAUCGACGAGAGGUUCACAGGUGUUGCUUUUCUUUUCAUUCUUUGUAAGUAUUAUUAAUAUUUAUAAGGAGAAGGUAAAUUCCAAGAAAGUUCAGAUAUUUAUUACGCAAAUUCCACGAAAGUACAAAUUCCAAAGUAAAUUCCAAGAAAGUGCAGAUAUUUAAGACUCUAGCGUGUAGUGGGUGUUUUGUGGUCGGUAUUUCGACAUGGCUUCUAUUUCUUCCAUGUUAUUUUAUUUAUUUAUUUAUUUUUUAAGGCAUGUUUGUGCUGGUUGUGUUUGCUGUUUUAGUUGGAGGAGGAUAUCUUUGGGCUGGGUUUUGCUUGAGAAAAAUAUAUAUUGGGCUGAAAUAAAUAACAACCUACCAUUAUAAUAUAUGUUUGACAUUUCUUUUACAGUUCACUGGAAUAUAAUCAUAUAGACAUAUAUACAAUUAUACAUAUAAAGAGUUCGAUACCUAAAUAUAUUAUUAUUAUAUCUUAGAUGGAAUUUUGAGUAAGAGUAAACAUGUAUAUACAUUUUUAAAUAGAACGACCUACGGAUUGAAAGCUUUUAUGUUAUCGGGAUGUCAACCAUAACAAUUGUUUCCAUCAAACGUCAACCCCUUGCCACAACAAUUUCAAUUCCAAACCCUUUAAUUUUCUAAUGUAAUUUGAAUUUCAUGAUAAUGUUUUUUAGGUUUUCUAAAAUGUAAAUUUCAAUCUUUAUGUUUGAUGAAAAUUUUGUUUUAUUUUAAUUAAUAUCAAUUGUUUUUAUUAAAUGCUUAAAUUAUUUUUUAUUUUAAAAAAACAAAGUUCAUAGCAAAAAAAAAAUCACCACAACCCAUUCAUAGGCAAAUACUAGCAAGUAAGAUAAAUGCUUAUGUGGGACCAAAACAUCUCCAUACUCAUUAGCCUAAUUAGAGGUAACUAGGGUGAUGUUACAUUCUCUUUGCGGAAUCGUAAUCUCUAAAUUUUCUAUUAGGCACGUACCAUAUUUGUAAUAUUUUUAACAUAUGGAUUGUUUCAAUAAAAAAAAUUAUACGCACAAUGACCUUUUCUCUGUAAACUAUAAGAGACAAUUUUUGUAAUUUAUUUUCUAUACCGGGACCAAACCAACCAAUAUAUGAAAGUCUUGAACACAUGGAUUUUUUUUUUUUGUAAAUUACAUGGAUAGUUUUUUGUAACAUAUUUUCUACACACAUAAAAAAAUGCCAAUAUAGGAGAGUUAACUGGAUAUAUGUGCCCAAAUUAGACAUAUGUCCUUGCUUAGAAAAAACUCCCAACUAUACCCAAUGACCGGACCAUAAGAGAUUACAAGAACAUACUUACUGACCGAAUGCAAAACUUAUAGGGGCCCUGUAACAAAUGGACAACAAAGAUGAUCUAGUUAUUGAUACGAGUCUGAUCACAAGAAUGCAAAACUUAUAGGGGCCCUGUAACAAAUGGACAACAAAGAUGAUCUAGUUAUUGAUACGAGUCUGAUCACAAGAAUGCAAAACUUAUAGGGCCAGGGCAAUUGAAACCUCAAUAACAGUAAUACCUUUUAAAAUAUAAAAAAUAAAACUUUUAAGUGAUUAAAAUACAAUACAUAGGCACCUCUAAACUUUGCCAUGUGAACUAAGACACCUCAAAAAACGUUUAAAAUUCAAUAUAUAAACUCUAAUUGUGUUAAGAUGCCAAUAUUAUCCCCAAACUUCGAGAUUCGAGUUGAUUUUGAGGCUAUAUAAUGCAUAACGUGCAUAUGUGUGUGUUUGAACCUUGCUUUUAGUUUUUGUGUUCAAAUGCCAUUUUAAACUUGGUGUUCUAUUUACAAGGGACGUAUGGGAAUUAAGUUUGACACUUAAUUCAAAGGUAAAUGCACUCUAGAAGAAACUUAAUUCAAACUAUAUACUAGAAGAAACUUGGGUUCAACUUCAAAGUUCAAACUAUAUACUAGAGGAAACUUAAUUCAAAGGUAAAUGCACUCUAUACACAAGCUUAUAGAUAUCAUUAAGUUUGACUUCAAUGGUAAGUUAAACACCCAUUAUGAAAAUCGAAUAAUGAAGUUUGGUUAUUAAUCAUUAUGAUUGUUUAGAUUACCAUUAAGAAGCAGAUAAAAAUAAUAACGAAUAAACAAAUGAUUAUGAUGAUAUUUAUGAUUAAUAAGAUGAAAUUGUCAAACAAUAUUUGAAGCUAAGUUGCCUGCCUACAAAGACAAGGAGACCUGAAAAGUGACGAAGCUGAGAAAGAUAACGACUGAAAUCUAUAGAACGAAUGGCGGUAAGUCGGCAGGGGAACGGUAAGUCAACGAGGAAGGAAGGGCGUUAGCCAGAGAGGAGAGUUAACGAGGAUGUUCAAAGUAAACGUAUUUGCGCAAGGUAAAUUUCAAGAAAGUAUCGAUAUUUAUAUGACAAAUUCCAAGAAAAAUACUCAUAUUUAUCACGGCAACUUGUAAGAAAGUUCAAAUUUUUAAAUAGGGUUAAUAUUAAAGGGUUUAAAUUGUUAAAAAAAAAAAAUCAAAUAUUACUAUAGCCGAGGCACUUUUAGGAAAUCAUCUAAUUUUGCACAAAUAGUCCCUGUUUUAUUGUAAAUUUGCAAAUAAUCGUUUUUAUAUUUUAAGAAAUUUCAUAAAAGUUCCAUGUAUAAUUGGGAAUUUACAUAAUCUGACUGAACUUUCAACUUUGUUUUUCAAGUUUGGUCUUAAUAUAGUUUAAAAUAUUUUAACUUUUUUUUUUCAAGUUUCUUUGAAUAUUUUUAUUAAUGUGUUUUUUUAGAAAUAUAAUUCUUUUAUAAAUUUUCUUCUCCCUUCCUAUUCUCAUGGCUUCCUCCAAUCUUGGUAAUCUCUUUGCCAAAACCAUGAAUCGUUUAAUUUUUUUUAAAGAUUGUUUUAAAAUAUUUUUCAAAACAGUUUUUAUACUUUAUGUAGUUUUCAUUCAAGUUUUUUAAAACUAAAAUUUGUUUAAAUAUUAUAAGUUUAAAACAUUUGGAAAUACUUUCAUCUAAAAAAAGCCUAAAACAUUUCGGUGUUACAAGUAGAAAACAUUUACAAAUAUUUUUGUUUAUUUUUUUAAAAAAAUUUAGAAAUGCUUUUGUUUAUAAAGUUCUAUAGGUAACUGUAAAAAAGUUUAAAUAAGUUGUAAAACAAGUUUAUAAUGUUGUAGUAAAAAACUACAAAAAAAACAUUUAUAACUUUAAUCUAAAAAAAUAUAUAAUGGUUAUAAAACAAUUUAUAAAAAGUUGUGAAUGGUGUUGGAGGUUUUUGAAAGAGUGCAACUCUAUUUAGGUAAUGCUUACUAAGGCUUUGUAUGGGAGACAGAGUUAGUUUGGUGUGGGCCAACAAGUCUCGUUAACUCACAUUAUCAACUAACAAGUCAAGUUUCUAAUCCGUAUAAUAAUAUGUUUAAGCAUUUGACUUAAUUUAUAUUUAUUAUUAUUAAACCCCAAAUUCAUGAAAUAUAAUAUAACUAAAAAUGGAAAAGAGGGCGUUACAGAAUUCAAUGAAAAAUUCUGAAAUUUCAAGAAAAAACCGUUUUAUACUUAAUUUUAUAUAAAUAAAAAAAAAAAGUUAAACAAACAUAGUAAAUAUGUAUUAUAUUCAAUAUUAGUGCAUAAACCAUACAUUUUAUGGAAAAACCGUGAUAUUAAACAUUUUGAAAUCAAUUUCUUUUAGAAAUAAGUGAGGAUAUUUCUUCUAAAAAAAAAAAAAAUUGGAAAAAACCCAAAAAAAUUAACUCGAGAAUAUGAAGAUCAAACUAAACUGGGAAUGGAGCAUUCUUUGAAAAAAAAAUUGAAAAUUAGUUGUGAGACAUUGGGAAGAAAAUAGUUAUUUUCUUUAAUGUCUAAUUUCCCUAAAUUAAUUAUAUUUAAUUGGAUAAUGUAUCAACUUAAAAUGACAAGAAUGCCCUUACUUUGAUCUAAAUACAUUUACAACUCUCAUCUCCCUUACGCAGACUCCCCACCCUUUCCCCUGUACACAAUCUGCAUCGACAGCCACCAUCGUUACAUUGCCUUCCGUCUUCCGUCCGCGCUGCUCCAACACAUACAUGUAUACCAACAUAAGCUUCUAAUACUUACAAUUUCUUCUUUUGCUUCGAUUUCAUUUCAGGUAUGUUUCUCAACCCUCAUCUACUUGGCAUGACGAUCGCUCCUCCAUAUUUAAUCCAUCCGUUAAGAAUUUCAAAUUUUGAAUAUAGAACAUCGAAUUGCUAUUCAGUUUUGGUGGAUUUUCACUAUUUUUGUAUCACUAAUGAUACUAUUAUAGGUUAAUUUUGCUAAUCUUAAUAUGAGCACCAAGUGUUGGAUGAAAUUCCACAAUGAAAUGUUAAUAGUACAACUGAAGUGCAAGGAAUUUUCCAGAUAGAUGCAUUAACCAAGGAGCUCAAAGCACAAUAUCCGUACCUUUUGGCUUGUCUCACUUACACCCCUAAUUAUCCAUCUGUCUAAAUAAGUUGGGUCAUUUGUCAGAUCAUUACAAAUAAGACAUGACAAUAAAAUAUAUUUAACCAAAAAUGACGUAUACCUUGAUAGUCUGGGCCAUCUGGAAUGAAUUCACGCUGAUAGGGAUGCAAUAUAAUCGCAAGCCUGAAAAAUCCCCAGUUGUUUAGGAGGUAUUGUCCGGUUGUUGUUUGAAAAGGAGAGAGAUCUCCACCAAUUAUGUGAUUCCAUGACUUGUAAUAACCCAACACAUCUUCUUCAUCUUCUUUUUCUUCUCCAUCAUCAUACACCAGACUCACCCCCACACUCCUUUACAAGUUCAAAAUAUGAAUCUGUAACAGUAAUAAUAAUGUGGUCACCAGCCUCCAUCUCAUUUAUCCCAAACAUCCAAUGACUCAACACCACCCAAUAAUCUCCACUUGUACUAAAUCUGUCCCCGUGACGUUCGUAUAUCCACGUGCGAUUCUUUGUUAUAUUACAAAUUCUCAUCAUUGGCCUUUCGUUAAGGAAGUCUAAAUUACUCCAACCCAAGCUACGUAAUACCUUUUCCUUAACAGUCACCAUUGGUUGGAUUUUGACUACGCCUUCAAUUUCAUACGACCAAGGUGCAUAAUGUACCCAAGAUGUGUAAUCUAUCCGGUACAUUGAUAACUGGAGUGGGGACAUUUCUGAAUCAAAUACAACUUUUUCUACAUAAUGCACAUCAGAAGGAUUAAUAAACAGCUCUCUUACUGUACAUGGAGGAUACUCGGCUGACUUCAACUUAUUACAAUACUGCAUACUAAGUAUCUCAAGUCUAGGAAGGGUUCUCACACAACUAGGCAUGUAAUUGAUAGGAUUUUCAUCUAAAUAUAAUCCCUUUAACAUGUAUAGAUUACUAAAGUCUGUGGGAAAGGAUUCAUGAGACAAUUUAUUAUUUGGAAGUGACAAAGUUACUAAAGACCUAGGUAAAGACAUUGCAAACAACUUUAAAUCAUGUGGUAUAGCACCUACGAAGGCUCUGUUUGUGCCAAUGUUGUUAACCGCGCUCAAUUCCAGUGAAUCCAUAUCCAUAUUCUUGAUUCGAGAUUCACCAAGAUUACAACCAUCUAGCAACACCGUUUUAACCUUCUUUAACAUGCCUAUAUUUUCUGGAAGUUUUUCAAGCUUCUUGCAGUAGCUCAAAUCAAUGAGCACAAGUUCAACACAUUGCCCAAUUGAUUCCCAAACAUCAACCAAACCAAUGCAAUGUCUAAGUAUUAACCUCUCGAGUGCAAGGAGUUGGUCAAAGUCACCAACACUAUGAAGUUUUUUGCAGAAACUUAAAUUAAGAAUCUUCAGUGAACCAAGUAACUUUUUCUCUUUUAAGCACAAUCCAUCCAACUACAGAAAUGGAAAUAAGUUAGUAUAGUAUUGAAUAUUAUCAUCAUUGAUGAAUAAUAAAUGAAGAUAAAUUUACCUUUUGUCUCUUCUCAAGUCAUUGUGGGUUGUUAUAACAACCGAAAAAUGAUUCGAUAUUGCUAUAUGACAUGUCAAGAGCAACAAGAUUCUGCAUAGGUAAGCCUGGUGGUAUAUAAAUUAAAGAAAACCCACGCAUAGACAACCAUCUAAUUUCUUCUGGAAAGUUCUCAUAAGACCUGUUAAUGUGCACAUAAUUUAGUUGUAGUAGCAUCAAACGAUCCAUGCUACUGAAUGUAUCCGUUUUCAAUUCAAAUGAUGCCCCCAACUUCUCUUUCUCAACCAUGCGCAUGUCAAGGGCAAGGCCUAGAAGAUUUCCCUUACCCUAAGUAGAAACACAAUUCAAAAAACGAAUUAGGCUGUACAAAAUAUUUUGGAAAUACAUACUACUAAAAACAGACAUUGCCUCUUACCUUUUUUUGUUUCAACACUUCGAGUGUCUCCUUAUGACACCAUAAUCGACUCCGCUUCAAUGGCUUGUCAAGAGAUUCUUGACAUACUUCAAAUCUUCACAUAUCUUGAACCAACUUAUGCAUCUUCAAUUCAUUAUUCCAUCCAAUACUAAGAAGACAUUUGUCAAUGAGAUUCGUAAUUCCGGAUCUUGUGUUUAUAUCACAUGCCUUUAAUAUUGUUUCGCUAACAUCUCUAUCUGUUCCAACAAAAAAACAAGCAAUAUGCUUAAAUAGCUCCUUAUCAUUUUUGGUUGGCAAAGAGUCGAAGCUCAUUUUCAAGACAUUAUUUACAAGGGAACUAAUUUCUUUCUUUAGUCCUUCCAUGAACCCUUCCCAGUACGCCACAUCCCGAUUAUGUAGAGAUUUACCCAAAACUUCAAGAGCCAAUGGAUGUCCUUGACAAUAUUUCACAAGCUUAUCCGAAACCUCUUCAUAACCUGCCUUGGGAUGGUUACACAUGAAUGCAUUGGAACACAAAAGUUGUCGUGAUUUAGUCUCGUGUAAGCCUUCAAGGAAGUGUUCUACAUGCUUGGGAUUAAUGUUUGUUUUGAAUAGUGCACAACUCUCUGUCAACCAUCUUUCCUUUGUUGUUAUUAUAACUUUGCUUCCAGGAUGAAAACCUUUGCUUCCAAGUAAUGCAUCCAACUGAACAAGAGUACUGAUAUCAUCAAGAACUAAAAACACUUUUUUACGGGCUAGAGCAUUUUCUAUCUUUGCGGUGUAUAUUGAAACAUCAAGAACUUUAAUUGAACUUGUUUUUGAAAUGUCAUUGCAGAGUUGUUCUUGUAAAUCAAGCAACCGAUUGAACUUUCCUUUACACAUCCUACUAAUAUCUUCAAUACAACUACUUUUGUGGAAUUCAUGACAAUGUAGCCCGUAGACAUGUUUGGCUAAAGAUGUCUUUCCGAGCCUAUACCCGAAAUAGUAAGCAUGUCUACCAUAUGUGAUGAUCCAUCUUUCAAUCAUGAAGUUACAAAGUCAACAUCAUAGUCCAUCCCUAUAAAUAGCGGUUGAGCACUUCUUAAGGGUACAUGUAAUCUAUAGUGGAUGUCAUUCACAAUUUCUUCAAUGAACUUUGUCUCUCACCAGAAAUUUGAUUUAAUAAGAACUUCAAUACAUAAUAUAUAAACUAACAAACCAGAUUUGGAUAUUUAGUUUAUCCAGAGAUCCAAAUAAAAAAAUAUAUCAUAGUUAUUAAUUUUAAAAAGUUCUUCACAUCAAAACCAUAUUGUGCUUAUAAUUAACCAUAUGAUAGGAAUAAAGAUACUAGAAUGCUCAAAUGAAUAAGCUUAACAAGAAUAGACUUUUUCUCUUUCUCUCGCUUCAGUCCUGUGAGAGGUUAGUGGUCAUACCAUUACUCUUGUCCCUUUUAUCCUUUUUGUGUCUCCUCAUGUAAACCUUCCGUAUGUUGGUCUUCUUGGGCUUAAGGCCAAUGGGCUGAAUUAGUUCUGGACUCAUGGAUUUUUUUUUCUUAUCACCAUAUAAGUAGCUAACGUGUAAGGUUAUAAAUAUAUGUAUAAUAAGACCAAUGCUACAAAUGUAAUACAAGACUUCACUAAUGGGUCAUCUAACCUGAUAAGGAUCCUAACCGAGUACCACCCACCAUAUACUUGAGCCCAAUUUGGAUAAGGAUGACCCCAAUGAACAUAAUCCUUGGAUAGUCUAUAUAAGGAAAAGAUACAGGGAAUGGAUACGUGUAGGGUGAAGAAUGGAGAAGUUAGUUAUGCGUCAAGAAAGAGGGAGGGGAGAAUAUAACUUAGUGAUUUUGCAUGAUGUUACCUGUCUAAAAAUUUCUUUUGAGAAUUAUUGUUCAUCAACUUCAAGCUUAGGCAGGAGGUAAUCACACACUGAAUUUCCUUUCGGAUUGUUUUAAAUCGUUUUCAUUCAUUUUCUUUCGGUUAAUAAAAUAAAUCGAUCUCUCUCUUUCAAAUUUAUUUACUGUUACAAAUUUUUUGAGUUAAGAACUUCAAAUAUCAAGGUCUACCAUAACUUCACUAUGUUUCUACAAGACCAUCAAACUUAACUAUGAAUGUGGCUGCGUCUUACAAAGUGUCGGUUAUAGGAUAUCUUUUACUACUUACAUGUAAGAGAAGUUAUUUAUCAUAAAACAUACUAUGUUUCAAAGUGGUAUCGUAUAUUUGAUAAUAGAUGCCUAACAAACGAUUCCAAUUUGGUUUUUAAUAGAAGCAUAUAAAAAUAAAUGAAAUGGUUUAUCUAAAUGGACUAGCGCUUUGAUAAAAUUCAAAAUGCAUAACAUGUGUGAAAAAACUAUCAGUUGGUAAUUUCCGAUCAUACAUGGACUUUUGAUAAGCCUUAUCAUAAUGUGUUAAUAACGAACGUAUUUAUCUGUUCAUACAAGUAGGUAUUAGCAUAGAGUUCAAAGUCUUUGUUUUGUAGUCAUCUUCUUAUAUACGUGUGGUAUAUGUAGAGGAUAGGAUAUUGAGUUAGGGUAUCAGUUAGAAGGAAAGGGUUGUAUCAUUUCUUUGUUAUAACAAGUGAAUUUCCUUUAAUCUAUGUGUUGUUUUUUGCAUAAACUGGGCUCAUUAAUCGGUAUCAGAGCGUUAAAACAAGAUGGGAGAUGUUGCCACUCCAAGCACGAGUGGAACGAAAGAAGGAUUGUCUCUUUCUCUUCAUAUGCCUAUGCUAAAUUCCAAAAAUUUAACAGUAUGGUCAAUCUGAAUGAAGGUAAUCUUUAACAUGCAUCAGGUUUGGGAUACCAUUAAUCCAAGAUCGACCAAUAUUAAGAAGAAUAACAUCGCCAUUGCAGUCCUUUUCUAAGCAAUAUCCGAAGACCUCAUCUUGCAAGUUGGCGUGAUGAACACGGCAGGAGAAAUUUGGAAUGCAAUCAAGACUCGUCAUCUAGGCGCUGAUAGGGUAUGAGAAGCACGACUGUAAACUCUCGCUACCGAGUUUGAAAAUUUAAGGAUGAAGGAGACAAGUACUAUCGAUGAAUUCGCUAGCAACCUGUCAGAUAUCGCGUCAAAAUCAGUCUCUCUUGAUAAAACUAUCCCUGAAAGAAAACUAGUGAAGAAAUUCCUCACUUUCCUACCAAGAAAAUUUGUUCAUAUUAUCGCUUCAAUAGAUCAAGUUCUCGAUCUUAAGACGGUUAGAUAUGAAGAUGUGGUGGGGCGAUUGAAGGUCUAUGAAGAACGUUUUCGCGAGGACAAACCCGUUAUCGAUCAAGGAAAGUUGUUGUUCAAGAACACAACACCUAACAAUCGAAAUCAUGAAGCCAACAGAGGAGGACGCGGUGGAUGAAGAUUAGGGUGAUGACGAGGUGGAGGUCGCCAUUCGCAAAAUCAACGACGACCCACACCAAAUUCCAACGAAGAGACCGAUAAUCCAAAAUCAAAGACCAAAGACCAAAGACAUAUCAAAAGUUCAAUGCUAUAGAUGUGACAAAUUUGGUCACUUUGUGUCCUAGUGCCCAGAAUGGAAGGAAAAAACAGGAAGAGGCUAACAUAGUAGAAGUUGAUGAUCACGACCCACAACUGUUUAUGUUAAAAACAUAGUCUCAUUCUUCACCGAUGUAGUAGAAAGACGGAAUUGUAAUCUUAUUGAGAUGACACAAAGUAUCCUGAAAGCAAAACAAGUUCCUAACUACCUUUGGGGGAAGCAAUAAAUCAUGCAACCUACAUCAUAAAUUGAAUCCCAACAAAAGCAAUGAAAGAAGCCACUCCAUAUCAGCUAUACUACAAUAGAAAACCCAAUAUUGAACAUAUUUGAGUAUUUGGAUGUGUGGCCUAUGCAAAAACAGUUGGAACACAGUUAAGAAAGCUUGAUGUUCGCUCAAGAAAGACAAUUCAUCUUGGAUCAGAACCAAGAACGAAAGCAUAUUGGUUAAAUGACCUGAUUUGUCUCAAAAUUGUUGUAUCUCGAGACGUGAUUUUUGACGAAAACACAAAUUAGGAUGAGAAGUCACUGGUCGACUCUAACUCAACACAUAACCUCCUGGUAUGUUUUGCGUUCAUUGACCAGGGAUUAUAGACAUGGGAGACAAUAUCAGAUGGAUUAGACCACGUUAAUGGUGAGCAACCAAAGCGAGAAAGUGGGGGGAAAUGAGAUGGAACUUGAGCGUCCAGAUGAACCCAAUGAAGAUCACGAAGAUCCUCCCUUACGAAGGUCAGGCAGGACCACUCAUCCACCAUGCAGGUACGAUGACUACGAAAGGAAUUUAUAUGUUGAGACUAUUUACCUUCUCCUUUCAUUAAACAAUGAUGAGCCAUCAAGUUAUAAUGAAGCACAAGAUAAUCCAAACCGAGUUAAAGCUAUGGAGGAAGAAAUUGCCUCUAUCGAAAAAAAUGGUACCAUGAAGUUAAUCUCAAAAAUACGACUAUUAUUGGCCUAAAAUGGGUAUUUAAUGUCAAAAGGGAUGCAAAUGGCUCAAUUAGUAAAUACAAAGCAAGGCUCAUGGCAAAGGAAUACCUUCAAUAACCUGACAUUGACUUGAAUUUAGAUUGUUCGAAUUCUUAUUGCUCUUGCGGCGUCAAAAGGGUGGGAGUUUCAUCACUUACAUGUAAAAUCUGCUUUUCUGCAUGGUGAAUCACAAGAAGAUGUGUUUGUUCACCAACCGGAAGGUUUCCUGAAGAAAGGAAGAGAAGAUUCAAUAUACAAAUUAAAAAGGCAUUAUAUGGUUUGUGACAAGAACCACACACAUGGAAUAUCAAGUUAGAUGAAAUUUUGAAAGAAAGGAAGUUUCAGAGAUGUGUGCAAGAACAAUUUGUGUAUCGAAGGUGCAUUGGAUCAUAUUUGAUCCUGGUUGGUGUAUACGUUGACGAUCUGGUCGUUACAUGGUUGGUGUAUACGUUAACGAUCUGAACAAGCACAAUCAUCAUAUCCAAAUUUAAGCAAGCAAUGGCUACAAAUUUGGAUAUGAAUGAUAUGGGCAUGCUAAGAUAUUACCUAGGAAUCGAGGUAUAUCAGCAGAAGGAUGAAAUCAUUAUCACACAAGAAAACUAUGUUCAAAAAGUACUCAAGGAUGCAAAAAGUACUCAACGAUGCAGGCAUGGACGAUUGCAAUCCAACACUAGUUCCAAUGGACUCGAAUAUGAAAUUCUCAAAAAAUAUUGAAGAAGAAGACAUAGACGCCAUAGAGUAUUGAAGUCUUGUAGGAAGACUAAGGUAUUUACUGUAGAAAAGAUAUGAUCUUUCGUAUUCGGUUGGGAUUACAAGUAGGUAUAUGGAAAUUCCAAAAAGGUCUCACAUGGCAACAAUAAAGCAAAUUCUAAGGUAUAUAAAAGGAACUUUGAGUUUUAGGAUAAGGUAUACACAUUGGAAACCAUUGGAAUUAGUGGGAUAUAGUGAUAGUAGCCACAAUAUUGAUCAUGAUGAUGGAAGGAGUACAAGUGAAAAUGUUUUUUUUUAUCUUGGAAGGUCACUUGUGACUUGGUGUUCAUAGAAACAAUAAACGAUUGCAUCGUCUUCAUGCGAAGCAUAGUAUAUGGCUACAUGUGCAGCAAGUUGUCAAGCAAUUUGGUUACGAGAUCUUCUUCAAGAAAUAACCAGAUCAAAAUUACAAGUAAUAAUUAAGAUUUAUAACACAUCUGCAAUCGCAUUAGUUAAAAAUCGAAUUUUUCAUAGCCGGAGUAAAUAUAUAAAGUCCCAUUACCACUACAUUCGAGAACAUGUCGAAGAGAAGGAAAUUUGUGUGGAUCAUGUUAGUGGGAAGGAACAUUGUGUAGAAAUUCUAACAAAGGCACUCGCCAAUAUUAAGUUGCUGAGAUGCACAAACUUCUUGGGGUGGAGGACCUCUUAAUUUCCAUUCGGAAAUUAGGGAGUGAAUGUUGGUAAUUUACGGUUAUACAAGGACUUUUGAUAAGCCUUAUCAUAAUGUGUUGAUAUGGAAAGUAUUUAUCUGUUAAUACAAGUAGGUAUUAGCAUAGAAUUUGAAGUCUUUGUUUUGUAGUCAUUAUCUUAUAUACGUGUGGUGUGUGUGUGUGUGUGUGUAUAUAUANNNNNNNNNNNNNNNNNNNNNNNNNNAUAUAUGUCAAGUUAGGGUAUUAGUUAAAAGGAAAUGGUUGUAUCGAAGUUUGAGUUAUUUCUUUGUUAUAACAAGUGAAUUUCCUUUAAUCUUUGUGUUGUUUUCUACAUCAACUUGGUUCUUUAUAAUUUAUCUAUAUAAAUUAAUUUAUAGGAUCAAAUAACACGAUACUUAGAUUCACUUCGUACAUCUCCGUGCCAUUUUAGUAAUUUUUAUGAAAAAACUUGUAAAAUGUGAGGUUUUUUCGGAAACAACUAGAAGGUUGAGGGUUUUUUCGUAAAAAAAAAUAAAAAGACAAGGGUGAGGUUUUUUCGGAAAAAAAAAAUGAAAAAUACAAGGUUUUUUCAAGGAAAAAAUAAAGUGGAUGUUUAAUCUGAAAAAAAAAAACACAAAAUAUAAGGUCUUUUAUGAGAUUAACCCAUAUCCUAAUGCAUGAAAUAUAAUCCAACUUGAUGAUACUAAGUAAACUUAUUGAAACGCAUAGGGAGAAGAUGGUAAAGACAUUUCAUGUGUUUACUCAAACAAAAUUGAAGGUCUAUCGAAAUUUGGGUAAGAAAGUUGUUACCUUCCAUUUACAUCAUUUCCUUUUAAAUUAGCUACUUCUACAAGCGCCGUAUUCCAUCGAUCCAUCUUUUGAGCCCAUUGACUUCUUUUAUGUGGAUUUUUCUCUAUCUCCAUCGUUUGUUUAUGCUUAGCCAUUGCAUCGUUUCUUCAUAACAUGUGUGGGAUCCACAUGAUAAUAUAUGGGGAUGACAAAAUGGUCGGAUGUCAUACGCUGCUCAAGGAUCAAAACCAAUUCAUCAAGACACCAUGUUGAAGAAGCGUAAUUCUAGGACAACACUAUAAUAGAAGCCCGAGAUGCUUUAAUUGCAUUCUCUAAUUCCGGUUUCAGAUCUUCCUCUGAUUCAAUCUCUUCAUUGUCCAAGAAGGUAGUGAUAUUGGCGUCAACGAGGGCCUAAUGAAGGUGAUCAGUGAAACUAUGAUGAGUAUCAAGACCUUUAAAACUUAUAAAUACAUCAUAUCUAUGAGCAUGAGUUGAUGAACUACGACCAGAAGUUGAUGAACUAUGGCCACGACUUGAUGAAGAAGAUGAAGGUCCUUCUGGAAAUUUAGAUAGAACAACCAUUAUGAGUUAUGUGUUGAUGACUCUUCACCCUUCCUAGGAUUUCUGAUCAACUCCCCCGCACGUUAUCCGUUAUGAAAGUUGGUUUCACCGGCUUCUCUCACUUGUGCUUCAAUGCUAGGAUCCUGUGCAUAAUGUUUCUACAUGAAAACAAAAUAAUCAAUAGUUACAAUAUGCAACUUAAGUCUCAUUGAACAAAUGAAACCUCAAUAAUAAUAAUGCUUCGAAUUCCUCAAAAAUAAAACUUUGAGGAUUAAAAAAAAAUAUAUAUAUANNNNNNNNNNNNUAUAUGCAGCUCAGAACUUUGCCAUGUGAACUAAUACACCUCAAACAUGUUUAAAAUUCAAUAUAUAAACUUUAAUUGUGUUAAUAUGCCAAUAUUAUCCCCACACUUUGAGUUUCGAGUUGAUUUAAGGGCUACAUAGUGCAUAAUGUGUAUAUAUGUGUGUUUUAACCUGUGCUUUUAAUUUCUGUGUUCAAAGGACCUUCUAAACUCGGGUGUUAGGUGUACAAGGGACAUAUGGGAAUCAAGCUUUGGCAUCUAAACUGUUAGGUUUAAUAGGUUUAUUUAGUCAAGGGCUACAUAGGUAACUUAACUUGGUCAUAUGGUGACCGGGUUUUUGGGAAAUAAUUAGGCAGCAUGCUGCAUUUUCUUUAGGUAGGAUUUGUUUACACAUUUUGUAUAGGUAGCACGUGUGUUUGUUUGUUGCUUUUCCUUGUCUUCAUCAUAGUGACUAGUUAUGGAGUCUUUUGUUUUAUUCUGUGUUUGUAAGCCUAUAUAAGGCAUAUCUUUAAUUUAAUUAAAGUAACCCCAAGAAAAGCACCUUCGGUGCACAUCGUGAGUGUUUAGUAGUGUGUGUUGUGUGUGUUUUCAAGGACCUGUACCAACAUAAACACUGUAAAAAAAAACAACAAAAGCAGAAUUAUUUAAAAGCAGUUACUAUGCUAAUAUUUUCUAAAUGAACUCCACUUUAAGAUCACGUUGGUAAUCCUCAAAGAAAUCAACACCAAAUACCAUUCUAGAUACAACUACAAGAUCAACAAUUGCCUCCUAUGAAAGGAAUUGCAAAAGAUAUAAGGCGUGUUUGACACAGAGCUUUUGAAAGCGUUUGGGAGCUUCUGGCUUUUAACUUUUGACAAAAUGCUCUAGUUUAAACAAAAAGCUUCGUUUGGCAGUACGAGCGUUAAGCUUUUAGUUUUAACAAAACACUCCAAUUCUAAAAGUUACUUCAUCUAGCGUUUAACAAAACGCUAGUGAGCUUUUGAAAUCAAUUUCCAUAAUUACUCUUAAAAAUAUAUUUAUAUAUUUAUUUAUUUUUAAUCAAUUGUCCUUUUAUAUAAUUUUAUAUAUUUCAAAAGCUUCCAACUACUUUUGUUAAACAUUCAUAUAACAAGCAAAAGCUAUAGCUUCCUACCAGCUAUUCGCUCCCCGCAUUCAGCUAACAACUACUUUUGCCAAACAUGCCUAUAGGCAAUUUCAAGCUUACACGAGAUAUCAACAAACAAUUAAAAGAUUUAAAAAAAAAUAACAAAUUUCUUGGCAUGGUUGUUUAUGGAUCUCCAAAAUUAGCAACAACAGUCUUCCCGGAUUUAAAUUUCUCAAUCACUAGAUCUAGUAUCAGCAUACAUCUAAGGAAUUUCGACUAACAUUCACAGGCUUGUUCGUUCCAAAUGAUAUGUAUUUGAAACCAACAAGCCAAGCCCUGUCGAAGGGUUCAACUUGAAACUAUAUAAUAGAAGAAAUUUCAAAGAUAAAUGCACUCUAUACACAAGUGUAACAACCUGAAAUUGUUCCUCUCGCCGUAAUCGUUUCGUCAACAAAAUUCGCCGGUAGCAAAUUGUCCAAGUUCGUUUUUUAUUAGGUCAAUUAAUUUAAGGCUUUUAUUUUGACCUCGUAAAUACCCAAACACAUUAGAAACGCAAGUAAACACCUCAAACUAAUAAUUAGAAAAAAUUUAGUUUUGACCAUAUCGAGUUACGACAACUUAAUCGGGUGCGACCCAAAGCCUCGGUUAACGUCGGUAUCGGGUAGAAUUCCACCGUGUCUCAUUUCCAAACCAUAUUUAAAGUUGUUUAAGCCUCAUUUGAAGCCUUUUCAUUCUCUCUCUAACCUCUCUCCUCAAAUCCAACUUGUUGAUCCAAAAUCUCUCAUUUCAAGCUUCAAAACACCAAGGUAACUAUCCUAGCUUAUAGUAUAACACAUUUAGCCUUCAAAUUCGAGUUUAAAAUCAUGGAUUAGGACCAUUAUCAUGAGUUUACGGCCCUAGAAUAGUCCUAGGCCGUGAACUCAUAUAAAAGGGGUUUUUGAGCCAUAAAACCCUUCCAAACCUCAUUUGGAGCUUAGAUAUGACAGCGAAUUACCAAAUCGGACUUAGAACACCUUGAACUUAAUUUUAAAGGAGUAAACAUGAGUUUACUGCCCAAGAACAUGCUUGGGCCGUAAACUCAUUAUCUUGGAGAGUAAACUCAUUUUCAAGUGUUUAAAUGCCACUUAAACACACCAUUAGCCUUGGAAUAAAUCCUAGAACCAACCACAAUUGAAUUGGGGACCUUAAACAUGAUAAAAACCCUUCAUUUGAGAGUUUACGGCCAUAACCCCCCAAGAAUAGGUUCCAGGGCCAUAAAAUCCUAAACAUAAGUCAAAUGGUGCCCAAAAUUCAUCCUAAGGCUUGUAAAAGUUGUUUGAAUCACAUGUGAUUGUCCUAGUAUCACCAAAUUACAUAAGGAUUAUGUGUGGGGGAGUUUACGUCCGUAAACUCCUAGUUUACUGCCAUAAACUCCAAUAAAUGGUCCAUUUGUGAGUUAACACCCUUUCCAAUGCAUUAGACUCAAACCUAGAUUUAAUCCCCAAGUGUUUCAAGGCCAUUUUGCACCAUAAACCUUCCAUCCAUGAGUUCACGGCCAUGAACUCAUGUGAAUAUGGUGUUUAGGGCCGAAAACUCUUAUAAGAGUUUACUCUUGAAGAUUAAACUCCAUUCCUAAGCCAUACAAGUCCUUAGAUGUCACCCGGGUCACUCCAAACACUUGAUUUGAAGUGUUUUCGCGUCUUGGAAUGUUUAAGUGUAUCUAAUUAGUGAUUUAAAAUUCUAGUUGGAUAUAUUUGUGUAUUAUUUAAUAUUACAUAGGAACCUUGCACAUAUUCAAGCCUCGAUUCAACCUUUAGCAUCCUAGUCGACACAUUCCGCGACCGGUGAGUUCAUACCCCUACCCUUUUUCAAUGGUUUUUCAAUGUUUUCAGGGGGGGGGGGNAGGGGGGGGGGGGUAAAAGCAAAAGUACAAGAAUAUCUUGUACUUGAAUUUAUUAUUUCAUUUGAAUGAUUUCAUAAUUCGUACACCUUUAAGAAUUGAAAACAUAUUAACAAACUGUUUUGACUUGCAGAGGAGUUGUUCAAACCGAUUUAAAUUCUUAUUAUAUAGUAUUAUACUACACAAUUGAUUGUUCACACUUUUAUAGUUGAAAUCAUAGAUCUUUUAUAUUGUCCUUAAUAAAACACCCCUAGAUGCGAGUGUGAAGGACAGGUAUCAUUAGAACUUUUGUUAGGUCCUUGAUAGUACUCCUAGAUACGAGAGUAAAGAACUAAUAGAAAUAGAUUUUUCCGUAUUAAUAACUUUCAGUUUUAAAUUCAUUAAUCUUAAGAUUGGAGACACGUCCUUUGUAACGCUUCCUUUAGAUACGAGAGUGGAGGACUAUCCCUGUAAAUAGAACCUCCAGAAAAGGGGAGAGCGUGACUUGAGUGUAUAGAUCUAUACAGGACUGACUAUCCCGCACCUGGCUGCUAGCUACAGCCGAACCGAAAGGUUCAAGGGUGACAAAAGUCAUAAAAAGAUACUGACCCUGGUCUGAGUCAUAUUUAGUCUGUAGUAUGGUUAUGGAACUCGCAAUCAAGAUUAUGAACAUUUUGUACUUAUUUAUUUGUUUUAUAUAUGUGUUAAAACUAAUGUACAUUUAAGGGUAAUCAGACUUUCAGGAGACUCCACACACACACUUUAAGUAUGGUAGAUACUUGUACAUUACUUUCAGAUUCGGUAACACUUCACACACAUUUAGGAAAAUAUGGGAUUUUCCUGGGAUAACAUUUGUACAUACCAGAAACGUGUAAUAACAUAACUAAACUUUACAAUUCAUAAGGGUAAACAUGUUUUUCAGUGUACAUCUUUUACAUUACAUUUUGGAUUUGGUAACCAACUGUUAAGAAAAUAUGGUAUUUUCUUGGAUAACCACUUUUCGGAAAACUAAAGGAAUCUUGUUCAUUUUCACAAAACAAACUGCUUAUGAACUCACCAGCUUUAUGCUAAUUUUUAAACUGCUUGUAUUCUCAAGUUCUCCUUAGACAGUUAUUCCCGCGUUCUUUUGCAGAAGACGAAGCGUAUGGAGUCACGUCCUUCUUUUGUUUAAACUUAUGUAUCUAUGAAACUUGUAUCACUUUACUUUUUAUCAGGUGUAAUGAAAACUAUGUAAUGUAAUAUUUUGUGUUUACUUCGCUUACUAUGUACAUUGGUUGUGAUAUUCAUGAUGUCCUCCGCCCCGGAACGUUUCCGCCCUGAGUUUCGGGGUGUGACAUAUUGGUAUCAGAGCUCUUGUUUAUAGUUAACUAAGUAUACAAAACUUUACAUGGUAUAAGACUAUAAACAUUAAGGGUCCUAAGUGCUCUGAACUAAAAGUAUACCUCCAAAUAUAAGUAUUUUCAAAAAGUAUACAAGUAUACCUAACCGUCGAGAAUCGUAACUAUAAGUAGAACAAAACAUAAGUAAAUGGGUGUUGUACACUGCAGUUAAACCUGGGCAGUUAUGUAGUCGUGUCUAGGAUCAAUAUAGCCUGAUCAACUAUAUUCAUUCGAGACACGGCCAACAUGUGCUUGGGAGUGACUGUGGAAUGCGACAUACCUAAAACUUACCCAAAUACCACAAACAACGAGUCGUCGUCGCAGCGAAUCAUGAAAUACUAUGGGAGUAUUUCUAGAUCCAAAUUUGUUGUAGAAAAUUCUCAUUCAAGCGUUGCCCCUCGAUCAUUCCUUUAGCGAUAGUUUGUCUGCUUUGAUAAUUCAUCCCUGCUUUAUCACUUCAUAGAAUUAUAUGUCUGUCAUAAAGAGAUAUCCCUUGUUUCAUAUCUCUUGAUUUGAUUCAGAGGACUUAUCAUCCUCUUUUUCCUAAUCAUUUUAGAUCGAAAUGUCUUCAAAGAAAGGACCCAGUUCCAGGAACAACGACUCUUCGUCAUCACCUCCUUCUCUAUUCGACCUUGUGAUGUUUCAGUUGGCUGUCUCGGCCGCAGUGGCAGCUACCAUGAAGGUAUUGUGCCCUGACAGGUUUGGAGGACCAGAAUAUAACCCCUACCCCCAAAACCAUGAAGAUGAUCAAGAGCACCAGAAUGAGUGUAGUAAGAGUAAGAAGAAGGUUUUCUGGAAAAAGCCAAAGGGUCAGAGUUCACAAGGACCCUCCAAGAGGCAUGAAACUGUGGCAGUCCAAGUUGCUACUAAUUUUGUCGUUGUUCCUAUAGUUCAAGCUACCACUGCUCCUGUUGCUGCGUCUACAGCUCAAGCACCUACCACUAGGUAUGCUGGUAAUCUCCCUUGGUGCAACAGGUGUAAUUAUCACCAUCGUAUUCCUGAUCUAUGUCGUGAGAUGAUCUGCAUCAACUGUGGCAAGAAGGGCCACCUUACUCGACGCUGCAGAGCACCAUCUCAGCUAAUCAGUCAAGCUUCCGGAUCGAGUACCGUGCAAGCCUGUUAUAGUUGUGGAGAAAUCGGGCAUUUCAAGCGAAACUGCCCAAAAGCAGCAACCACCAACAACAUCAACAUCGCCGAGAUGGUUUUAGCUAUGAAGCAAGAGGAGGCAGCCAUUGAUCCCACCAACGUCGCGGGUACAUUUCUUUUUGACAAUCCUUAUGCUCGCAUCCUUUUCAAAUCUAGUGUCAAGAAAGUUCUGUUAGUUAUUCAUUCCAAUAUCUUCGUAAACAUAGCCCUCGUCUAAUGACCGAAACAUUUACCGUCAAAAUAGUUAUCGAUGAGAAUGAGUGCACUAACGACUUAUCUCUAAGUUGUGUCCUUACUUUGAGUAAUCAUUCUUUCCUCUUUGACCUGGUGUCAGUUUCAAUAAAGAGCUUUGAUGUUACCCUUGACAUGUAUCGAUUGAGUCCCGAUCGUGCUAGUACAUUUUGUUAUGAUAAAGACUAUUCUCCUCAAUCUCCCCUCUGAUAGACCCUCAUGAUAUAUGGUGUCAAGCUUAGCUCAAAACUUCACAUCAUUCCCUACCUCAAAGCUCGAAAUUUUCUGUGAAAGGAGUGCCAGGUAUCCCUAGUUCAUGUAAUCAGCGAGAAACGAGAAGAUAAAGACCCCGAGAGCGUCUCCGAAGACUGUAAUAUUCCUGAUAUCUUUCCGAAUAGAUCCCGAGAAUUCCUCCCAAACGCCAAGUUGAAUCUCGUAUCAACUUAAUCCCUGGAAUUCCCCCUAGCCAAACCUCCGUAUCGUCUUGCUCCAGCAGAAAUGCAGGAGUUAUUCGGUCGGCUUAAUGAGUUGACCGUCAAAACCGAUAUCCUCUUUCCCGAAUAGAUGACUUCUUCGAUAAUUUCAGGGAGCCAGCUACUCCUCGAAGAUAUACCUUAGGUCAAGACACCAUCAGCUACGAGUUCAUGAGAGUGAUGUUUCAAAGACAUCAUUCAGGACUUGAUAUAAUCACUAAGAGUUCGUAUUGAUCCCCUUCGGUCAAACCAUUUUCCUCCGGUCAUGUAGUAGGCGAUGAAGACAUACGCAUGGAUCCUCCUAAGAUCGAAACAAUAGAGAAUUGGUCGGCACCGAAGACUCCCAUAGAAAACUUCACUAGAUCGAUAGAAGAGUUACGCCGAUAUACAACAUAAACCUCUGGAAUUCCAGGCUGGAGAUCGUGUCCUGUUAAUGGUCUCACCCUGGAAAGACAUGAUACACUUUGUAAAGCACGGAAAACUUAACUCGUGGUACAUUAGACCCUUCGAGAUUCCCAUUAGGAUUGAUUCCAUAGCCUUCAAACUCCGAGUACCUUCAGUACUUAGCAACAUUCACCCUAUACCUUGUGCCUCUAUUCUUAAUGAAUACAUGUAUGAUAAAACCAUAGAAAUCUAUCCUGAUGUGAUCAAGAACCACGAUAUACCUAAACUUUCUGGAUGAACAAACUAAGAUCAUAGACCAAGUAAUCAAACGUUUGAAACCGAGCCGCGUCCCGUUAGUGAAGGUUCGCUGGAAUGACAUGCGAAGAUCUGAAAUCACUUGGGAUCAUGGAAGAUUCAAUGUAAUAGGUAUAUCCACACCUUUAUCCAUAAUUGGUGCCUUAAUCUUUGAAUUUCGGGAUGAAAUUCCCUCUAACGGGGGGAUAAUGUAACAACCCGAAAUUGUUCCUCUUGUCGUAACCGUUUCGUCAAUAAAAUUCGCCGGUAGCAAAUUGUCCAAGUUCGUUUUUGAUUAGGUCAAUUAAUUUAAGGCUUUUAUUUUGACCUCGUAAAUACCCAAACACAUUAGAAACGCAAGUAAACACCUCAAACUAAUAAUUAGAAAAAUUUUAGUUUUGACCAUAUCGAGUUACGACAACUUAAUCGGGUGCGACCCAAAGCCUCGGUUNGGUUAACGUCGUUAUCGGGUAGAAUUCCACCGUGUCUCAUUUCCAAACCAUAUUUAAAGUUGUUUAAGCCUCAUUUGAAGCCUUUUCAUUCUCUCUCUAACCUCUCUCUCAAAUCCAACUUGUUGAUCCAAAAUCUCUCAUCUCAAGCUUCAAAACACCAAGGUAACUAUCCUAGCUUCUAGUAUAACACAUUUAGCCUUCAAAUUUGAGUUUAAAUCAUGGAUUAGGACCAUUAUCAUGAGUUUACGGCCCUAGAACAGUCCUAGACCGUGAACUCAUAUAAAAGGGGUUUUUGAGCCAUAAAACCCUUCCAAACCUCAUUUGGAGCUUAGAUAUGACUUAGGGAAUUACCAAAUCGGACUUAGAACACCUUGAACUUAAUUUUUGAGGAGUAAACAUGAGUUUACUGCCCAAGAACAUGCUUGGGCCGUAAACUCAUUAUCUUGGAGAGUAAACUCAUUUUCAAGUGUUUAAAUGCCACUUAAACACACCAUUAGCCUUGGAAUAAAUCCUAGAACCAACCACAAUUGAAUUGGGGACCUUAAACAUGAUAAAAACCCUUCAUUUGAGAGUUUACGACCAUAACCCCCCAAGAAUAGGUUCCAGGGCCGUAAACUCCUAAACAUAAGUCAAAUGGUGCCCAAAAUUCAUCCUAAGGCUUGUAAAAUUUGUUUGAAUCACAUGUGAUUGUCCUAGUAUCACCAAAUUACAUAAGGAAUAUGUGUGGGGGAGUUUACGACCGUAAACUCCAAUAAAUGGUCCAUUUGUGAGUUAAAACCCUUUCCAAUGCAUUAGACUCAAACCAAGAUUUAAUCCCCAAGUGUUUCAAGGCCAUUUUGCACCAUAAACCUUCCAUCCAUGAGUUCACGGCCGUGAACUCAUGUGAAUAUGGUGUUUAGGGCCGAAAACUCUUAUAAGAGUUUACUCUUGAAGAUUAAACUCCAUUCCUAAGCCAUACAAGUCCUUAGAUGUCACCCGGGUCACUCCAAACACUUGAUUUGAAGUGUUUUCGCGUCUUGGAAUGUUUAAGUGUAUCUAAUUAGUGAUUUAAAAUUCUAGUUGGAUAUAUUUGUGUAUUAUUUAAUAUUACAUAGGAACCUCGCACAUAUUCAAGCCUCGAUUCGACCUUUAGCAUCCUAGUCGACACAUUCCGCGACCGGUGAGUUCAUACCCCUACCCUUUUUCAAUGGUUUUUCAAUGUUUUCAGAGGGGGGGGGGGGAAAAGCAAAAGAACAAGAAUAUCUUGUACUUGAAUUUAUUAUUUCAUUUGAAUGAUUUCAUAAUUCGUACACCUUUAAGAAUUGAAAACAUAUUAACAAACUGUUUUGACUUGCAGAGGAGUUGUUGAAACCGAUUUAAAUUCUUAUUAUAUAGUAUUAUACUACACAAUUGAUUGUUCACACUUUUAUAGUUGAAAUCAUAGAUCUUUUAUAUUGUCCUUAAUAAAACACCCCUAGAUGCGAGUGUGAAGGACAUGUAUCAUUAGAACUUUAGUUAGGUCCUUGAUAGUACUCCUCUUAGAUACGAGAGUAAAGGACUAAUAGAAAUAGAUUUUUCCGUAUUAAUAACUUUCAGUUUUAAAUUCAUUGAUCUUAAGAUUGGAGACACGUCCUUUGUAACACUUCCUUUAGAUACGAGAGUGGAGGACUAUCCCUGUAACCAGAAUCUUCGGAAAAGGGGAGAGCGUGACUUAAGUGUAUAGAUCUAUACGGGACUGACUAUCUUGCACCUGGCUGCUAGCUACAGCCGAACCGAAAGGUUCAAGGGUGACAAAAGUCAUAAAAAGAUACUGGCCCUAGUCCGAGUCAUAUCUAGUCUGUAGUAUGGUUAUGGAACUCGCAAUCAAGAUUAUGAACGUUUUGUACUUAUUUAUUUGUUUUAUAUAUGUGUUAAAAGUAAUGUACAUUUAAGGGUAAUCAGACUUUCAGGAGACUCCACACACACACUUUAAGUAUGGUAGAUACUUGUACAUAACUUUCAGAUUCGGUAACACUUCAACACAUUUAGGAAAAUAUGGGAUUUUCCUGGGAUAACAUUUGUACAUACCAAAAACGUGUAAUAACUCAGAUAACUAAACUUUACAAUUCAUAAGGGUAAACAUGUUUUUCAGUGUACAUCUUUUACAUUACAUUUUGGAUUUGGUAACCAACUGUUAAGAAAAUAUGGGAUUUUCUUGGAUAACCACUUUUCGGAAAACUAAAGGAAUCUUGUUCAUUUUCACAAAACAAACCGCUUAUGAACUCACCAGCUUUAUGCUAAUUUUUAAACUGCUUGUAUUCUAAGGUUUUCCUUAGACAGGUAUUCUCGCGUUCUUUUGCAGAAGACGAAGCGUAUGGAGUCACGUCCUUCUUUUGUUUAAACUUAUGUAUCUAUGAAACUUGUAUCACUUUACUUUUAAUUAGGUGUAAUGAAAACUAUGUAAUGUAAUGUUUUGUGUUUACUUCGCUUACUAUGUACAUUGGUUGCGAUAUUCAUGAUGUCCUCCGCCCCGGAACGUUUCCGCCCUGGGUUUCGGGGUGUGACAACAAGCAUAUAGAUAUCAUUAAGUUUUGACUUCAAUGGGAAGUUAAACACCCAUUAUGACAAUCGAAUAUUGAAACUUGGUCAAUAUGAUUGUUUAGAUUACCAUUAAGAAGCAGAUAACAUUAUUUAAAAAGAAUCAAAUGUAAAAAAAAAAAAUCGUGUUUAUGAGUUUGAAAAUCUAAAAGGAAUUGAUGAAGCGAUUUUCAAGGAAUGAAUAAUUUUCCCAAUGUACAUGGAAUUCUGUUAAUCAUUCUGGACUUUACUUUAAAAGGAGUCUACUAUCCUAAUUGAUAUAGAAAAAAAAGUAAUUGACAUAGAAAAAAAUAAUCAAACCUGCUAACGAAAUAAACAAAUGAUUAUGAUGUUAUGUAUGAUUAAUAAGAUGAAAUUGUCCGAAAAUAUGUGAAACUAACUUGUAAGAACGUGCAUGCAUAGUUACCUACCUACAGGAAGACAAGAAGACUUGAAGUAGCGAUGAUAAAGGAUGAACCAACAGUGACGAAGCUGAGAAAUAUGACGACUGAAAUCUACAGAGCGAAAGAAGGUAAGUCAGAACGGAAACGGCGAGUGAAUGAAAGGAAGGAUGUGAGAGAGAGAUAGAGAGAAAGUCAACGAGUUAUGUGGGUUUUCCGUUUUCUUUUGCUUUACGAUUGAAUGGCUUCAGGGGUGUGCUUUUCCCUUUAAUCUUUCAAGUAAACAUAUAUUAGGCAAAUUCCAAGAAAAUACAGAUAUUUUAUCGUAAGGUUCAUAUAUUGUUUUUGGAUAAAAAAUCGAUUGAAAAAGUCUUCAACCUGUCCGGCAAAAAAAAGUCGGUCAAUGUGAGCAGACACCAAGUUGGACGACAUUACAGAACCGUGUGAUUGAAAAAUGUAAAAAGUAUUAGACAAAAUGUAAAAACAGCUUUGUUUUUUACAUUUUUUUUUGGGUUUUCAUCCUUGUUUCAAAAUUUUAAAUCUCAUUAUAUAUAAUCAUUUUCUAUAAUCAUAUCAUCAUAUAUAUAUAUAUAUAUAUAUAUGUUUAAAUUAUCCAANNNNNNNNNNNNNNNNNNNNNNNNNNNNNNNNNNNNNNNNNNNNNNNNNNNNNNNNNNNNNNNNNNNNNNNNNNNNNNNNNNNNNNNNNNNNNNNNNNNNNNNNNNNNNNNNNNNNNNNNNNNNNNNNNNNNNNNNNNNNNNNNNNNNNNNNNNNNNNNNNNNNNNNNNNNNNNNNNNNNNNNNNNNNNNNNNNNNNNNNNNNNNNNNNNNNNNNNNNNNNNNNNNNNNNNNNNNNNNNNNNNNNNNNNNNNNNNNNNNNNNNNNNNNNNNNNNNNNNNNNNNNNNNNNNNNNNNNNNNNNNNNNNNNNNNNNNNNNNNNNNNNNNNNNNNNNNNNNNNNNNNNNNNNNNNNNNNNNNNNNNNNNNNNNNNNNNNNNNNNNNNNNNNNNNNNNNNNNNNNNNNNNNNNNNNNNNNNNNNNNNNNNNNNNNNNNNNNNNNNNNNNNNNNNNNNNNNNNNNNNNNNNNNNNNNNNNNNNNNNNNNNNNNNNNNNNNNNNNNNNNNNNNNNNNNNNNNNNNNNNNNNNNNNNNNNNNNNNNNNNNNNNNNNNNNNNNNNNNNNNNNNNNNNNNNNNNNNNNNNNNNNNNNNNNNNNNNNNNNNNNNNNNNNNNNNNNNNNNNNNNNNNNNNNNNNNNNNNNNNNNNNNNNNNNNNNNNNNNNNNNNNNNNNNNNNNNNNNNNNNNNNNNNNNNNNNNNNNNNNNNNNNNNNNNNNNNNNNNNNNNNNNNNNNNNNNNNNNNNNNNNNNNNNNNNNNNNNNNNNNNNNNNNNNNNNNNNNNNNNNNNNNNNNNNNNNNNNNNNNNNNNNNNNNNNNNNNNNNNNNNNNNNNNNNNNNNNNNNNNNNNNNNNNNNNNNNNNNNNNNNNNNNNNNNNNNNNNNNNNNNNNNNNNNNNNNNNNNNNNNNNNNNNNNNNNNNNNNNNNNNNNNNNNNNNNNNNNNNNNNNUAAUUUUUAAUAUAUAUAUAUAUAUAUAUAUAUAUAUAUAUAUAUAUAUAUAUACACACUAAAAAAAAAAGGGGGAGAAAUAAGAACAAUUGAAAAAAUUUGAUGAAAUACUAUAUUUAUUUAACACAUUAAUCUUAAUAUAAUAGUAUGUAAUGGGCACAUAAAAGGAAAUUGCGAGGCAUCAAUUAGUGAAAGAGAUUAGAUGAACGGGAGGCAUUUUGGGCUGUAAGCCCUAUAAGAGAUCUCUAAUGAGUUUUCUAAAUCUAAUCAUUAAAAAAUGAAAAUGUAAGCCCAGAAGUCGCUCCACCACAUGCCUCCUCCUUCGUUGUUCACGUACAAUGCUCCGGCUGCGGCAAUAAAUCGACCACCGUUAUUAUGUGGUUUAGCGGAAAAAAACAUGAUCUCUCGGUUGUUUAGAGACUUGAAAUCAGAAUCAGACAAGAGUGGAUACAAGAUUAGGUCAGUGGAGAGUCUAGAAUCAACAUCUGAACGGCAAAUCACAUGACCGGUUAACUGAUAUGCUUGUCUUUGUAAGUUCUCGCAACUGGUAGCAUUAUUUGGCAUCUGUUAUUCGAAAUCCAACUCCUUUUCGUGUGCUCAAAAACAAAACGACCCAAUUUUUGUUUAGAAAUCAAUAGGAUCGCCAUAGUGCAAAUAGAAGUAAUUAGUAUAGACUGGUUCCGUCAAUCAUGGGUUUAUAUGUCUUUUGGCGCAUCUGAUUGGAUUUUGUAAUUCUAAUGGACGAGCUUGUUAGGGAGGAGGGAGUCCUUUCCACUGAACCCACUUAACCCAUUGUCACAUCAGUUUUUUUCUUUGAUUUUUCUUCAUCUUUUCGAACCCACAACACACGGAAAUCCUAUUUUUUUUAACCCACUCAAUUAAAAAAAAUAUACAAAAUAAUCAAGGUAAAAUCUUAAUUAACAAUAGAGUUACCGUCAGUACCACUUCCUCUUCGACGGGUUGUUUAAUUGGUUUCACGAACCCACUUCAUCAUCUCUCUCUACUUUCUCUUUCUCAUUUUCUCUUGUACCAUAUAUUUUAAGACUUGUACCUUAGUUGUUUAGUGUUUUUUUUAAUUGAGUGGGUUGAGUGGAUUGAAAAAGAUAGGAUUUCUGUGUGUUGUGGGUUCGGAAAGAUGAAGAAAAAUCAAAGAGAAAAGCUGAUGUGGCAGUGAGUUCAGUGGGUUCGGUGGGUUCAAUGGGAACGACUCCCUCCUCCCUUAGGGUUCAAAGGAUGUAUGACAUUGCUUAGGAAAAAGAAAAGUUGAAUCUCAUGUAACAUGUUUGGAUAAGGAUAUUGUAUUCUGUUUUAUAAUGAAUUUUCUACAGAAACCGAUUACAUGAGAGGACUUUGAUCAAAAAGCAAAGUCAUGGGUUUGUUCAGUUAAGGUAUUGACCACAAAGUAAGAAGACCUCUACAAUAAUUUUACUUUCAGAAAAAGACAACUCAUGAAGAUUAUUUGUAUCUUUUUCAAUUUUGGUUCUCAAGAAUGAAAAAUAAAAAAUACUAUUAUCCAAAAUAUACAUGAGACCUAUCCUAAAAACUAAAAGUGCAUGAAAACUCUAUGCAAAUUAAGCUGGAAAAGUGACGACACAUAUAUAUGCUGGAAAGGGGCAACACAUGUACAGCUUGUUUUUAUAUUCUAACAUUUACUAAGUUCCAUUUAUACAUGAAAAUCAUAAUAUGGAACUUUCUAACGGAUGAUAAGUGAUAGGAAAUCCAAGUGGUCUACUAGAAAGCUAAAAUUGAGUAAUUAUACAAAAGAACAGUAAGGAAAUGGACAAAGUUGUGGCUACAGAAUUGACUUUCUCAGUUAUAUCACUUAGAACUUCAACUUAUUGAAUUAAGUAGCAGCAAAAUAUUCAACUGUGAGAAUCAUGGCAACUCAGCAAUCACAUUUUAGUCUUUUCUCUCAAUCACAUGAACCAAAUCAACAAAAUAUAUGAAGUAAUUUAAAACAACGUUAUGACUUACAUCAUAUUCUCAUAUUCCUUAUAUGUGUAUUAAUUAACUCAAAAACCAUUCAUAUUGUCUUCCACUGUUUUUGGCAAUAUAAGAUACAACUAUUAAAACAAAAACCGCAAAGAUAAAUCGUUACUAGAGAUGACAAGAAGCAAACCAUCUUUAAUUAUUCUGGAAAAAUAAGGAUAUUACUCAUUAGUUUCACGUGAUUGAGUGAGUUACAGUAGCUUUUGGUAACCCAUCUGUUUUGAAUUUUCAUGUCAAGGACGAGACCCUGAAGAUUCCUCCUUACCCUACGAAUAAAGGAAAAGUAAGAAAAAUAUAAAAUCUCACCAAGACUCCUUAAAAACAAGUAAUAUGCUAAUGUUUCCAUGUGUUCUUAGUCUUAUUAAUAAGGCAUCUAUUAAUAAGACUCCUUAAAUAUGAAUCAGCCAAAUAACUCUGAGAACUCGACCCUAGCUAGUGACUUUCACACAUGAUGGUAAUACAAAUACAACACGAUUUUUUUAAGUUUGUUUGUACAUAUAUGUGAAUCGCCUAAAUAAAUGUGGGACAUGUUUAAGAAUAGAAUCGAAGGACCAGACCAUGUCCUUAAAAAUACAAGACUACCAGGCCUAAACGAAUACAACAAUUUUAAAGGAUCAGCUACAGAGUCAAUAACUGAAACCUUUGACUUGUAUACAGGAGAAGUAGCAUAACACAAAAAGCUGAUUCUUCAAAGUCCAAUACAAUGUGGUGGGGACCAUUGCCAUUGGUUAGAGGGAAUUCAAUGAUGCAAUGCAAAAAAAGUGGUGAAGCAUGGAUCAUAUUAUUUCUAGAAAUAUCAAGAAGCCGAGAUGAAUGAGAAAGCGUACAUGGGAGAAAUGUGGUGGAGAAUUAUCAACUGAAGUGGAGAUUUGGUCAUCAUCUAAUGAGGAGGAGGACUCUAAUAAACAAGCCUACAUCUUCCUUAGGGUCGCUAAUCCGAUAUCAACAAACUCAUCAAAAGGAUCAAGUAUUUUAUUUUUCCAACUCUAAUAUUUCUAUUAUUGAAUUCAAAAAGCAUUUUGCAAAUGUCGACUCUAAACAUAUGUAGAGAAAUCGAUUCAAAUUCAAAAAGUGGAGGAAAAUGAUAUGUAGGUAAAUGAAUUGGUGGAAGUUCAAAAUGAGGAGGAGGUCCUUAAGGCAAAGACCAAGACUGUAGUAAAGAAGUACAAUAGAGGCAUUGUAUGAGAUUGAGGGUAGAGAUAACUAAAUUAAAUAAAAACCAAAAGAUCUUGAUAACAACCAAAAACACCGAAUUUAGAGCCCUAAUUGAAGGAACUAGGAAUAGUUUAGGAGUAGUGUAGAUUUGCUGUUCCAAAAAAAAUGAAGGAAUUAGGUAUCCGUAAUUUGUUGGCUCCCAUUCUAAGAUUAAGUAGUUAGAGAAAACAAUACAAAGUUCAUGCCCCAUCGUAUCUGCCCGAACUAUGUUUUGACGUUGUCUUUCUCAAGCAAGCAUCCAUUGCAAGGUUAUAACUCUGUUACAUCCUAAACCAAUCAAAGGUAUGAUAUAUAGCAUACUUGGAUCUGUAUGCCCUUUAUUCAUGUGAUGAGAGAAAGGUUUGGGUGUCAAAAUGUAUACCUCACAUGCACGACCAAGUAUGUCAAGCUUCCUCGGGGAUAAAGCUCUAAACCAACACUUUUCCUUUUGUGCUGAAAACAGAUAAACAGUUAUUUUAAUUAUUAUUCACAAGCAUCUGAUAUAUGUAUGUGGUCCAACAUAUCAAGACUUAAAGAGUUACAUAUACCCAUUGAGACGGAUUACUACUUGGGUAGAUUCAUUUAGGAGUUAGUAGUAGAAAUUUUGUUUUUCAUAUUUUAUAAAAACUAACUCUAAUAGUACAUGUCAAUAAAAUCAAUGAUAAAUGGGUGGAUUGAUUUGGGUUAUAUGAAACAUUUAUUUCUUUACUAAAAUUAAAUGUGUAUUAUCCAUCUUGCUUUGGAUCAUAGGUCAGAUCAUUAAAUAAAUGACAUCUACCUUGAAAGUCGGGGUCGUCCUGAACGAAUUUACGAUGAUAUGGCCACAAUCUAAUGCCAGAAUCAUAAAAUCGCCUGUUGCAUAGGAUGUAUUGUCCUGUUGUUGUUUGAAAAGGAGAGAGAUCUCCACCAAUUAUGUGAUUCCAUGACUUGUAAUAACCUAACACUUCUUCUUCUUCAUCCUUCUUCUCUCCAUUUUCAUACACAAAACUCACCCCACACUCCUUUAUAACCUCAUCCUUCAUUAGAAGUUCAUGUCGUUGCGGUGUAACAGUGAUAGUAAUGUGGUCACCAACCUCCAUCUCAUUCUUCCCAAACAUCCAGUGACUUAAUAUUACCCAACAAUUCAGAGUUUCACUAAAUCUGUCCACAUAACGUUCAUAUAUCCACGUACGUUUUUUUGUUAUAUUACUAAUUGUCAUCAUUGGCGUCCAAGGCAAAAGAUCAUCAUCUGAUAAAUCCAACUCCUCAUCAAGAAGGUUUAAUGUGUGCAGAGAGCAGAAGUUGAGCCCUGUAAGGAGGUUGUUUGGAGAUGAUGAUGAUGAUGAUGAUGAUGAUGAUGAUGGGAUGGUAAAUGAUAUUAUUGGCCCCAAGCUUCUAUGCCUAAUCCAACCCGGCAUCUCCUCAGCCUCAUACAACAUGCUAAAUAUUCCAAAUUCAUAAAACAUCAUCUGCCAAAUACAAACCACCAUAAUAAUUACAUUAUAUGUCUUCACAUAAACAUAUAUAGAAGUUAAGUUAACUAGACAAAACCUGGAUUUCAGAUUCUGAAGAAUUAGUUCCCACACGCCUUUCGUUGAGGAAGUCUAAAUUAAUCCAGCCCAAACUACGUAAUACCUUUUCUUCAACAAUCAUCAUUGUUUGGAUUUUGAUCACACCUUCAAUUCCGUAAUCCUUCAACCCAAGUGAAGAUGUCCAGUCUAACGGGUCUAUUGAUAACUGGAGUGGGGACAUUUCUGGAUCAAAUACAACUUUCUCUAUAGGAUACCCAUAAGCAACGUCAAGAAACAACUGUUUUAGUGUACGUGGAGGAUACUCGACUGACUUCAAAUUUUUACACAUCUCCAUACUAAGUAUCUCAAGUCUAGGAAGGGUUCUCACACAACUAGGCAUGGAAUUGAUAGGAUUGUCAUCUAAAUAUAAUUCCUUUAACAUGGAUAGGCAACUAAAGUCCACGGGAAAGGAGUCAUGAGAUAUAUUAUUAUUUGCAAGUGACAACCUUACUAAAGACUUCGGUAAAGACAUUGCAGAGGACUUCAAAUCACGUGGUAUAGAACCCACAAAGGCUGUGUUGAUGCCAAUGUUUGUAACCGUGCACAUUUCCACUGAAUCCACAUCCAUAUUCUUGAUUCGAGAUUCAACAAGAUUACAACCAUCUAGCAACAUUGUUUUAACCUUCUCUAAAAUGUCUAUAUUUCUUGGAAGUUUUUCAAGCUUCGUGCAGUAACUCAGAUCGAUGAAGAUAAGCUCAACACAUUGCCCAAUUGAUUCACAAACAUCAACCAAACCAAUGCAGUUCCUAAGUAUUAACCUCUCAAGUGCAGGGAGUUGGUCAAAGUCACCAACACUAUGAAGUUGUUUGCAAAAACUUAAAAUAAGAAUCUUCAGUGAACCAAACAACCUUUUCUCUUUUAAGCACGAUCCAUCCACCUACAGAAAUGGAAAUAAGUUAGUAUAGUAUUGAAUUUCAUCAACUCACAUACAUGAAUAAUAAAUGAAGACAACUUUACCCUUUGCCUCUUCUCAAGUCGUUGUGGAUUACUAUAACAACCGACAAAUGAUUCAAUAUUGCUAUAUGACAUAUCAAGAGCAACAAGAUUCUCUAUAGGUAAGUUUAAAGGUAUAGACUUUGAAUGAAACCCAUGCAUACAUAACCAUCUUAUUUCUUCUGGAAAGUUCUCAUAAGACCCAUGCAUUUGCACAUAAUUGAGUUGUAGUAUCAUAAGAUUAUCCAUGUUACUCAAGGCAUCCGUCUUCAGCUCAAAUGAUCCUCUCAACUUCUCUUUCUCAAGCAUGUGCAUGUCAAGGGAAAGGCCUAGAAGAUUUCCCUUACCCUAAGAAGAAACAGAAUGCAAACAAACAAAUUAGGCAAUGCAAAUGUUUUCUUGGACAUGCACACUACUAAAAGCAUACAUGGCCUCAUACCUUUUUUUGUUUCAACACCUUGAAUGACUCCUUAUGACACCAUAAUCGACUUCGCUUCCAUGGCUUAUCAGGUGAUUCUUGAUGUACUUCGAAUCUUCCCAUCUCUUGAACCAACUGAUGCAUCUUCAAUUCAUUAUUCGAUCCAAUACUAAGAAGACAUCUAUCAAUGAGAUUCGUGAUUCCGGAUCUUGUGUUUAUAUCACAUGCCUCUAAUAUUGUUUCGCUAACAUCUCUAUACAUUCCAACAAAAAAACAAGCAAUAUGCUUAAACAAUUCCUUAUCAUUUUUGGAUGGCAAAGAGCUGAAGCUCAUUUUUAUGACAUUAUUUACAGGGGAGCUAAUUUCUUUCUUUAGCCCUUCCAUGUACCCUUCCCAGUACGUCACAUCUCGAUUAUGCAGAGACUUACCCAAAACUUCAAGAGCCAAUGGAUGUCCUUGACAAUAAUCCACAAGCUUAUCUGAAACCUCUUCAUAACCUUCCUUGGGAUGGUCACACAUGAAUGCAUGGGAACACAAAAGUUGUUGUGAUUCAAUCUUAUCUAAGCCUUCAAGGAAGUGUUUUACAUGCUUGGGUUUAAUGUUUGUUUUGAAUAGUGCACAACUCUCUGUCAACCAUCUGUCCUUUGUCGUUAUUAUAACUUUGCUUCCUGAAUGAAAACCUUUGCUUCCAAGUAAUGCGUCCAACUGAUCAAUACUAUUGAUAUCAUCAAGAACAAGAAACACCCUUUUACGAGCUACUACAUUCUCUAUCAUUGAUGUGUAUUUUGAAACAUCAUAAACUUGAACUGGACUUGUUUUUGAAAUGUCACCGCAAAGUUGUUUUUGUAUAUCAAGCAGCCCAUUAUACUUUCCAUCACAUCUCCUACCAAUAUCUUCAAUAAAGCUGCUUGUUUGGAACUCAUGACAAUAUAACCCAAAGACAUGUUUGGCUAAAGAUGUCUUCCCGAUCCCGCCUAUACCCGAAAUAGUGAGUAUGUCUGACGUAAGUGAGGAUACAUCUGUCAACCAUGAAGUGAUGAAGUUAAUGGAAGACUUCAUCCCAAUAAGUAGUGGCUGAAAACUCUGUAAUAAGGGUACACGUAAUCUACGGUAGAUGUCCUUCACAAUUUCUUCAAUAAACUCUGUCUCAAACCUGAAACUUAAUGUAGUAAGAAUUACAAAAUACAAUCCACAAAACUAACAAACCUGAUUUGGAGAUUUCUUUUAUAUAAAGAUCCAAGUCAAUAUUAUAUAACAAGUGUUAGUGUUAGAUAUAUGUAGAAUAGGAUUUAUUUGCUUUUAGGUUACUUUAUUUGUAUUUUCAUGUUUUAGGUACACUAGUUGAUUUAUAAAUGAGGGUUUAACUUGUUUAUCAAUGACAACAUAAUAUUCCAGAAAUCUAUUCCUUCACAGCAACUAUUAGUUUAAAACUUCUAAUUAAGUUCUUCGCAUCAAAACAUAUUGUCUUCAUUCUAACCAUAUACAUAUCUAAUGUGUAAGCCCAUAAAUAUUUAUGUAUAAUAAGACCAAAACUACCAAUGUAAUACAAGUUUUCAUAAUGGGCCUUGUAACUUCACUGUGUUUUUACAAGAACAUCAAACUUAACUAUCAAUGAUGUGAGUUUUAAAAAAAUGCCUGUCAAACUUAACUAUCAAUGUGGUAAGUUUGAAAAAAAAAGGCCAGUAGAUUAUCCUUUACUACUUACAACAGAAGUUAUUUAUCAUAAAAGACGCUAUGAUUUGAAGGUAGUAUGGUAUAACUAAUAGUAGAUGUAUAGAAACCUACUCAAAAUUUGUUUUUUAAUAAAAGGGUUGACUAUUUAUUUAUGCAACAACACUUCGCCUUCUUCCCAAUUUAUGCAACAAUGUUAAAUUUAUAUAAAAUAUAAGACAUUUCGUCCUUUUCCCGAUUUUAUGCAACAAUGUUAUAUUUAUACAAAAUAUGCAUCUUAGUUAUCCUACUGUAUCAAACGUAUGUCUGUUUGAUGAUAUUAAAAAAAUACCGAAAUGCAUAGGGUGAAGAUGAUAUUGACAUUUUUCAUAUGGGUGAAUAUGUGGUUACCUUCCAUUGAUGUCAUUUCCUUUUAAAUUAGCAACUUGGAUAAGUGCUUUAUUCCAUCUCUCUAUCUUUUGACCCCAUUGACUUCUUUUAUUUUCAUCCGUCUCUUCAUCCAUUUUCUGUUUAUGUUUAGUCAUUGCCUCUCCAAAGCUACUUUGUUGCUUCCUGACAUGGGUGGGCUCCACAUGAUAAAAUAUGGGGAUGACAAUGUGGUUGGAUGUGAUACGCUGCUCAAGGAUCAACACCAGUUCAUCCAGACACCAUGUUGAAGAAGCGUAGUUCUUAGACAACACAAUAAUAGAAGCCCGAGAUGCCUUAAUUGCACUCUCUAAUUCAGGUUUAAGAUCUUCCCCUGUUUCAAUCUCUUCAUCAUCCAAGAAGGUAUUGAUAUUGGCAUCUAUAAGAGCCUCAUACAGAUAAUUAGUAAAACUAAGACGGGUGUCAACACCUCUAAAACUUAAAAAUACAUCAUAUCUAUAACCAUCGGUUGAUGAACUAGGACCACAAGUUGAUGGACUAUGGCCAUGAGUUGAUGAAGAUGCUUCUGGAAGUUCAGAUAGAACAACCAUUAUGAGUUGUGUGUUGAUGACUCUUCACCCUUCCCACCUUUUUGAGUAUUUGUUUAAAGGUUCUUCUUAAAUGCAGGUGUACCUAAGUAAGCUCUGAAACUCUACAGGUUAUCAAUAAUGUAAGUUGGUUUCACUAGUUUCCCUCACUUGUGCUUCAAUGUCAAGAUGUAGUAAAUAAUGCCUCUACAUAAAAUCCAAAUUAUUAGUAUUUAAAAUAUGCAACUU